AUGGCAAUUGUUUUGAGAUAUCUUAGCAAGCGUGGAUUUAUCAUUGAACGGUUAGUUGGAAUUGAACAUGUGAAGGAAACAUCAGCGACUUGUCUCAAGGCUACUCUUCAAAAAAUAUUCACUGAUAUUGGAUUAAGCAUAAAGCAGGUUAGAGGCCAAUGCUAUGAUGGGGCUAGUAAUAUGCGCGGUGAGUUUAAUGACUUGAAAGCAAAGACUAUGCAAGAGAAUAAGAUCUCAAUUUUAUUCAAUGUGGUUGGAGCUUCUUGCAAAAGAAAGGAUAUGAUUAAAGAGAAACAUCGAGAGGAGGUAAUAAAAGCCAUAGGUCGUGGGCAGAUUAGCACUGGCACAGGGCUAAAUCAAGAACAAACUCUUCAAAGAGCCGGUGACACACGUUGGGGAUCACACUAUAGGACUCUUUCAAGUCUAGUGAAAAUUUUCCUAUCGGUUAAGUCUGUUCUGAAAUAUGUUGAGAAAGAAGGCAAAAGUGAUAAGAAAUGUUAGGCAUGUGGUCUUGUAUCAUAUUUUGAGACCUUUGAUUUUGUUUUUUAUUUGCACAUGAUGUUGCAUAUAUUGGGAAAUGCAAAUACUUUGUCGCAGUCUUUACAAAGGAAGGAUCAAGACAUCUUGAAAUGA
RNAcentral lists this ribosomal RNA (633 nucleotides) under Triticum aestivum (bread wheat). RNAcentral's name for it is "partial small subunit ribosomal RNA". Lineage: Eukaryota; Viridiplantae; Streptophyta; Magnoliopsida; Poales; Poaceae. The record is from RNAcentral.